RNAcentral lists this ribosomal RNA (242 nucleotides) under uncultured bacterium. Its description in RNAcentral is "partial 16S ribosomal RNA". It matches the Rfam family "Bacterial small subunit ribosomal RNA", at positions 100 to 334 of the family's 1533-position model. The record is from RNAcentral.
CGGGACGGGUGAGUAACACGUGGAUAACCUACCUAUAAGACUGGGAUAACUUCGGGAAACCGGAGCUAAUACCGGAUAAUAUAUUGAACCGCAUGGUUCAAUAGUGAAAGACGGUUUUGCUGUCACUUAUAGAUGGAUCCGCGCCGCAUUAGCUAGUUGGUAGGGUAACGGCUUACCAAGGCGACGAUGCGUAGCCGACCUGAGAGGGUGAUCGGCCACACUGGAACUGAGACACGGUCCAG